RNAcentral lists this long non-coding RNA (509 nucleotides) under Pandoravirus dulcis. RNAcentral's name for it is "putative ncRNA". The record is from RNAcentral.
GGCCACGGCGGCAAGGGCGAGCCAGGGCGCAGCCCACAGCGGCCACGGCGACCCGCUGACCACCGGCUUGACGACGCGUGCCCGGAUGGCGAGCAAUUCGUCAAUCACGUCGUCGCUCCACGGUCGAAAGGACGGGUCGCCGUCGUGCGGUUGUCCUUUGGCAACUCCAUCGAGGAUGCACGCCUUGAUGUGUUCGAGUAUAUCGACGCGGUCGCCAGCGAUGGCGGCGCAGAGACACGCGUCCCAGCGGAAUCCAUGCGGCGGACCAUAGAUGUCGGGACGGUCGGCGGCGAGGCGCAAACCGACGAGGUCACCGGCAGCACACAGGGAUAGGAGCGUCGCGUACCGGUACCGGCACGCGUGGCGCACGGCGUCGCCCAGGACACUAAAGCGACGCCAGGCCAGCAGGCACGCGCCAAUGUCCCUGGCGUCCCACACAUGCUCGGCCAUGAUGGCGCAUAGGAUUUCAUCGGGCAGGAUGUCAAUAUCGGGCGCAGGCUCUAUCGUCG